UCCCUGGUGGCUCAGAUGGUAAAGAAUCUGCCUGCAGUGCAGGAGACCUGGGUUCAAUCCCUGGUUUGGGAA
RNAcentral lists this transfer RNA (72 nucleotides) under Capra hircus (goat). It matches the Rfam family "tRNA". Rfam says of the family: Transfer RNA (tRNA) molecules are approximately 80 nucleotides in length. Their secondary structure includes four short double-helical elements and three loops (D, anti-codon, and T loops). Further hydrogen bonds mediate the characteristic L-shaped molecular structure. tRNAs have two regions of fundamental functional importance: the anti-codon, which is responsible for specific mRNA codon recognition, and the 3' end, to which the tRNAs corresponding amino acid is attached (by aminoacyl-tRNA synthetases). tRNAs cope with the degeneracy of the genetic code in two manners: having more than one tRNA (with a specific anti-codon) for a particular amino acid; and 'wobble' base-pairing, i.e. permitting non-standard base-pairing at the 3rd anti-codon position. Lineage: Eukaryota; Metazoa; Chordata; Mammalia; Artiodactyla; Bovidae. The record is from Rfam by way of RNAcentral. RNAcentral also lists the same sequence under 1 other name.